AUCCCAUUCCCCAUGUAGAAUGGGAAGCUGAGUUGGGAAUAAUUCAUUCAUCAAGAAGCUACUACCAACUAGAGGUAGUACUGAAAGGAACAGCAUACAACUUCUUCAUGCUUUAGAUUGAAAAAAAUUUUUUUCCCAAGAAACUUUUUGUACUAAUCUUCAUGAAAUCCUCAGGCAAAGGGAAUCGGUCAUCCACAGUGAGGAGGUAGAAAUAGCAGGAAAAAAUUGGUGUCUUUUUAAAUACUAAACUGUAAGUGAAGUAGGUUGUCUGCAUUUUAUUUAUUUAGGUAAGGACUGGCUUAGAAUUAAGGUAAUGCUUAAUGUCUUUUUCUUUAUUCAUUUCAGUUAUUAAGCACCAAUCAGUUAUUGCACCGUAUGUUGACAGGCAUUGGGCAAAGGAUCAGUGAUAUCAAGAUAAAAGACAAAACAUUUCUUCCCUCAAAUUAUUCACAAAAACGGAGAACAAAGAAAAGAAGAUGCAGUCACUCUCCUGUGUUAUUGAACGUUCCUGACCUCCUGGCUCCUAAGAGGCAGCAAGGCAUGUUGGCAUGGCUUCUCUAUUCACUUUAGCACAAAAGGAGUGCACAUUCCAAUGGUCUAAUUGGCAGUGCUCAACUUGUCAGGUAAGAUUUCCUCCCUCAAUGUUAUCCAGGUAAAGUGGGUCUGAGAAUCAAGAA
RNAcentral lists this long non-coding RNA (677 nucleotides) under Vulpes vulpes (red fox). RNAcentral describes it as "lncRNA (ENSVVUG00000020948.1)". The record is from RNAcentral. Lineage: Eukaryota; Metazoa; Chordata; Mammalia; Carnivora; Canidae.